CGGCGUGUAGCUCAGCCAGCAGAGCGCCAGGCUCGGGACCUGGAGGGCGCGGGGGCGGAACCCGCCACGUCGGCCA
This 76-nucleotide transfer RNA is filed under the name Streptomyces sp. UH6. RNAcentral's name for it is "tRNA-Pro". It matches the Rfam family "tRNA". Rfam says of the family: Transfer RNA (tRNA) molecules are approximately 80 nucleotides in length. Their secondary structure includes four short double-helical elements and three loops (D, anti-codon, and T loops). The record is from RNAcentral. Lineage: Bacteria; Bacillati; Actinomycetota; Actinomycetes; Kitasatosporales; Streptomycetaceae.